RNAcentral lists this ribosomal RNA (254 nucleotides) under uncultured bacterium. Its description in RNAcentral is "partial 16S ribosomal RNA". It matches the Rfam family "Bacterial small subunit ribosomal RNA", at positions 524 to 776 of the family's 1533-position model. The record is from RNAcentral.
CACGUAGGGUGCAAGCGUUGUCCGGAAUCAUUGGGCGUAAAGAGCUCGUAGGCGGCUUAGUAAGUCGGGUGUGAAAACCCCAGGCUCAACCUGGGGACGCCACCCGAUACUGCUAUAGCUAGAGUCCAGUAGGGGAGUGUGGAAUUCCCAGUGUAGCGGUGAAAUGCGCAGAUAUUGGGAGGAACACCAGCGGCGAAGGCGGCACUCUGGGCCUUACCUGACGCUGAGGCGCGAAAGCUAGGGGAGCGAACAGG